UGGAUACCUUGGCGUCAGCAGCCGAUGAAGGACGCAAUAAACUGCGAAAUGCCACGGGGAGUCGUUAUAGACUAAGAUCCGUGGGUCUCCGAAUGGGGCAACCCCGCUGAGUAAUGUCAGCGACGCACACCUGAAUACAUAGGGUGUGACGAGGUAAGCUCGGGAACUGAAACAUCUUAGUACCGAGAGGAAAAUAAAACAAAACAGUGAUUCCCUAAGUAGCGGCGAGUGAACGGGGAACAGCCCAAACCAGUAGGACGAAAGUCUUGCUGGGGUUGCGGGACUCUAUAAAGAAUUGAAGAAAGUUAGUUGAAGAGCUCUGGAAAAGGGCUACCAAAGACGGUGACAGUCCGGUAAGCGAAAACUUUCGACAUCUGGGAGUAUCCCAAGUAGUACGGGACACGAGAAAUCUUGUACGAAUCUGCCAGGACCAUCUGGUAAGGCUAAAUAACUGACUGACGACCGAUAGUGAACAAGUACCGCGAGG
This 487-nucleotide ribosomal RNA is filed under the name uncultured eukaryote. RNAcentral's name for it is "bacterial LSU rRNA". It matches the Rfam family "Bacterial large subunit ribosomal RNA", at positions 25 to 508 of the family's 2925-position model. The record is from RNAcentral.